UCGAGCGAGCGGAACUAACAGAUUUACUUCGGUAAUGACGUUAGGAAAGCGAGCGGCGGAUGGGUGAGUAACACGUGGGGAAUCUGCCCCAUAGUCUGGGAUACCACUUGGAAACAGGUGCUAAUACCGGAUAAGAAAGCAGAUCGCAUGAUCAGCUUUUAAAAGGCGGCGUAAGCUGUCGCUAUGGGAUGGCCCCGCGGUGCAUUAGCUAGUUGGUAAGGUAAAGGCUUACCAAGGCGAUGAUGCAUAGCCGAGUUGAGAGACUGAUCGGCCACAUUGGGACUGAGACACGGCCCAAACUCCUACGGGAGGCAGCAGUAGGGAAUCUUCCACAAUGGACGCAAGUCUGAUGGAGCAACGCCGCGUGAGUGAAGAAGGUUUUCGGAUCGUAAAGCUCUGUUGUUGGUGAAGAAGGAUAGAGGUAGUAACUGGCCUUUAUUUGACGGUAAUCAACCAGAAAGUCACGGCUAACUACGUGCCAGCAGCCGCGGUAAUACGUAGGUGGCAAGCGUUGUCCGGAUUUAUUGGGCGUAAAGCGAGCGCAGGCGGAAGAAUAAGUCUGAUGUGAAAGCCCUCGGCUUAACCGAGGAACUGCAUCGGAGACUGUUUUUCUUGAGUGCAGAAGAGGAGAGUGGAACUCCAUGUGUAGCGGUGAAAUGCGUAGAUAUAUGGAAGAACACCAGUGGCGAAGGCGGCUCUCUGGUCUGCAACUGACGCUGAGGCUCGAAAGCAUGGGUAGCGAACAGGAUUAGAUACCCUGGUAGUCCAUGCCGUAAACGAUGAGUGCUAAGUGUUGGGAG
This 800-nucleotide ribosomal RNA is filed under the name uncultured bacterium. RNAcentral's name for it is "bacterial SSU rRNA". It matches the Rfam family "Bacterial small subunit ribosomal RNA", at positions 62 to 829 of the family's 1533-position model. The record is from RNAcentral.